This 506-nucleotide ribosomal RNA is filed under the name uncultured bacterium. RNAcentral's name for it is "partial 16S ribosomal RNA". It matches the Rfam family "Bacterial small subunit ribosomal RNA", at positions 28 to 523 of the family's 1533-position model. The record is from RNAcentral.
GAUGAACGCUAGCUACAGGCUUAACACAUGCAAGUCGAGGGGUAACGAGAGGAAAGCUUGCUUUCCUUGUCGACGACCGGCGCACGGGUGAGUAACGCGUAUCCAACCUGCCCCCAACUAGGGAAUAACCUUGCGAAAGUAAGACUAAUACCCUAUAAUUUCCUCAGAUGUCAUCUGACGAGGAAUAAAGAUUUAUCGGUUGUGGAUGGGGAUGCGUCUGAUUAGCUUGUUGGCGGGGUAACGGCCCACCAAGGCAACGAUCAGUAGGGGUUCUGAGAGGAAGGUCCCCCACAUUGGAACUGAGACACGGUCCAAACUCCUACGGGAGGCAGCAGUGAGGAAUAUUGGUCAAUGGGCGGAAGCCUGAACCAGCCAAGUAGCGUGCAGGAUGACGGCCCUAUGGGUUGUAAACUGCUUUUAUACAGGAAUAAAGUUAACCACGUGUGGUUAUUUGUAGGUACUGUAUGAAUAAGGACCGGCUAAUUCCGUGCCAGCAGCCGCAGUAA